AGAUUAAGCUAUAAAGAGCGUAUGGUGGAUGCCUAGGCAAUUGGAGUCGAAGAAGGACGCAACAAACGGCGAAACGCCGCGUGGAGCUGUAAGUAAGCAUUGAAGCGCGGAUAUCCGAAUGGGGAAACCCAGCCAUGGUUAUGCAUGGUUACCCUAUGAUGAACACAUAGUCAUAGAGGAGACAGACCCAGGGAAGUGAAACAUCUCAGUACCUGGAGGAGAAGAAAGUAAAAACGAUUCCCUGAGUAGCGGCGAGCGAAAGGGGAGAAGCCCAAACCAAUCUUCGGAUUGGGGUUGUAGGACUCUCUACACGGAGUAAGAAAUUUUUAUGUUAGAUGAAUCAUUUGAAUGAUGAACCAGAGAAGGUGAAAGUCCUGUAAUCGAAAACAUAGAAACUCUUGAGAGUAUCCUGAGUACGGCGGGGCACGUGAAACCCUGUCGGAAUCUACGAGGACCAUCUCGUAAGGCUAAAUACUCCCAAUUGACCGAUAGUGAACCAGUACCGUGAGGGAAAGGUGAAAAGAACCUCGGAAGAGGAGUGAAAAGAUCCUGAAACCAUAUGCUUACAACAAGUCAGAGCCCGUUAAUGGGUGAUGGCGUGCUUUUUGUAGAAAGAGCCGGCGAGUUAUGUUAUCAUGCAAGGUUAAACUGAAGAGGUGGAGCCGCAGCGAAAGCGAGUCUGAAUAGGGCGAAUGAGUAUGGUGACAUAGACCCGAAACCAAGUGAUCUAGCCAUGGGCAGGUUGAAGGUGCAGUAACAUGCACUGGAGGACCGAACCGACUUACGUUGAAAAGUGAGCGGAUGACCUGUGGCUAGCGGUGAAAUUCCAAUCGAACUUGGUUAUAGCUGGUUCUCCCCGAAAUAGCUUUAGGGCUAGCCUCGAGGUAGUUUUAUGGAGGUAGAGCACUGAUUGUAUGAUGGGACCAUCUCGGUUUACUGAAUAUAGUCAAACUCCGAAUGCCAAUAAAAUGUUCCUCGGGAGUCAGACAGUGGGUGAUAAGGUCCAUUGUCGAAAGGGAAACAGCCCAGACCACCAGCUAAGGUCCCAAAGUACGUGUUAAGUGGGAAAAGAUGUGGGGAUGCACAGACAACUAGGAGGUUGGCUUAGAAGCAGCCACCCUUUAAAGAGUGCGUAAUAGCUCACUAGUCGAGUGACCCUGCGCUGAAAAUGUACCGGGGCUAAAACACGACACCGAAGCUGUGGAUUUAUUAAUAAAUGGUAGGGGAGCGUUCUAAGGGCAGAGAAGCUAUACCGUAAGGAGUAGUGGAGCGCUUAGAAGUGAGAAUGCCGGCGUGAGUAGCGCAAGCUAGGUGAGAAUCCUAGCCGUCGAAAACCCAAGGUUUCCUCCGGAAGGCUCGUCCGCGGAGGGUUAGUCGGGACCUAAGGUGAGGCCGAAAGGCGUAGCCGAUGGACAACAGGUUGAUAUUCCUGUACUGCUAUUAGAUCGUUUGACGAUGGAGUGACGGAGAAGGCUAGGCAAGCGUACGACUGGAAGUGUACGUCUAAGCACAAAGAGGGACAUGUAGGCAAAUCCGCAUGUUGAUAACCUUGAAGUGUGGGGGAGUUCCCUACGGGGAACGAAGUUGUUGAAGCCAUGCUUCCAAGAAAAGCUUCUAAGGAGAGCUAAUGGCACCCGUACCGAGAACCAACACAGGUGGGUAAGGUGAGAAACCUAAGACGAACGGAAGAACUCUCGUUAAGGAACUCGGCAAAAUGGCUCCGUAACUUCGGGAGAAGGAGCGCUCUUGGAAACAAGAGCCGCAGUGAAAAGGCCCAAGCGACUGUUUACCAAAAACACAGCUCUCUGCAAAAUCGAAAGAUGAAGUAUAGGGGGUGACGCCUGCCCGGUGCUGGAAGGUUAAGAGGAGAGGUUAGUCUUCGGACGAAGCUUUGAAUUGAAGCCCCAGUAAACGGCGGCCGUAACUAUAACGGUCCUAAGGUAGCGAAAUUCCUUGUCAGGUAAGUUCUGACCCGCACGAAUGGCGUAACGAUUUGGGCACUGUCUCAACGAGAGAUCCGGUGAAAUCUUAGUACCUGUGAAGAUGCAGGUUACCCGCGACAGGACGAAAAGACCCCAUGGAGCUUUACUGUAGCUUGAUAUUGGGAUUUGGUGUACCAUGUACAGGAUAGGUAGGAGACAAUGAGACCAGCACGCCAGUGUUGGAGGAGUCAAUGUUGGGAUACUACCCUUGGUGCACUGAAUUUCUAACUUACCGCCGUUAUCCGGCGGGAGGACAGUGUCUGGUGGGCAGUUUGACUGGGGCGGUCGCCUCCUAAAAAGUAACGGAGGCGCCCAAAGGUUCCCUCAGAAUGGUUGGAAAUCAUUCGUAGAGUGCAAAGGCAUAAGGGAGCUUGACUGCGAGACCUACAAGUCGAGCAGGGACGAAAGUCGGGCUUAGUGAUCCGGCGGUACCGAAUGGAAGGGCCGUCGCUCAACGGAUAAAAGCUACCCUGGGGAUAACAGGCUGAUCUCCCCCAAGAGUUCACAUCGACGGGGAGGUUUGGCACCUCGAUGUCGGCUCAUCGCAUCCUGGGGCUGUAGUAGGUCCCAAGGGUUGGGCUGUUCGCCCAUUAAAGCGGUACGCGAGCUGGGUUCAGAACGUCGUGAGACAGUUCGGUCUCUAUCCGUCGUGGGCGCAAGAAGUUUGAGAGGAGCUGACCCUAGUACGAGAGGACCGGGUUGGACAUACCGCUGGUGUACCAGUUGUUCCGCCAGGAGCACCGCUGGAUAGCUACGUAUGGAAGGGAUAAACGCUGAAAGCAUCUAAGCGUGAAGCCCCCCUCAAGAUGAGACUUCUCACAGAGUUAAUCUGGUAAGACCCCUUGAAGACUACAAGGUAGAUAGGUCAGGAGUGGAAGUGUGGUGACACAUGCAGCUAACUGAUACUAAUCGGUCGAGGGCUUAAUCACA
RNAcentral lists this ribosomal RNA (2912 nucleotides) under Culicoidibacter larvae. RNAcentral describes it as "Firmicutes bacterium CS-1 23S ribosomal RNA". It matches the Rfam family "Bacterial large subunit ribosomal RNA". The record is from RNAcentral. Lineage: Bacteria; Bacillati; Bacillota; Culicoidibacteria; Culicoidibacterales; Culicoidibacteraceae.